RNAcentral lists this ribosomal RNA (480 nucleotides) under uncultured Streptococcus sp. RNAcentral describes it as "bacterial SSU rRNA". It matches the Rfam family "Bacterial small subunit ribosomal RNA", at positions 903 to 1382 of the family's 1533-position model. The record is from RNAcentral. Lineage: Bacteria; Bacillati; Bacillota; Bacilli; Lactobacillales; Streptococcaceae.
UACAAAGGAAUUGACGGGGCCCGCACAAGCGGUGGAGCAUGUGGUUAAUUCGACGCAACGCGAAGAACCUUACCAGGGCUUGACAUCCCCUGACCGCGUAUGAAAGUACGUUUUCACCCUCGGGUGACAGGGAGACAGGUGGUGCAUGGUUGUCGUCAGCUCGUGUCGUGAGAUGUUGGGUUAAGUCCCGCAACGAGCGCAACCCCUAUUGUUAGUUGCCAUCAUUCAGUUGGGCACUCUAGCGAGACUGCCGGUAAUAAACCGGAGGAAGGUGGGAUGACGUCAAAUCAUCAUGCCCCUUAUGACCUGGGCUACACACGUGCUACAAUGGUUGGUACAACGAGUUGCGAGUCGGUGACGGCGAGCUAAUCUCUUAAAGCCAAUCUCAGUUCGGAUUGUAGGCUGCAACUCGCCUACAUGAAGUCGGAAUCGCUAGUAAUCGCGGAUCAGCACGCCGCGGUGAAUACGUUCCCGGGCCUU